Molecule: long non-coding RNA, 620 nt
Organism: Acipenser ruthenus (sterlet)
Lineage: Eukaryota; Metazoa; Chordata; Actinopteri; Acipenseriformes; Acipenseridae
Exons: 3
Source: RefSeq, a predicted model, not a curated record
CCACUCCUGACUUUAUCAGGAAUCAGAUCACCAUUCCGGGCGAGGUCUGGAGCAGCGGGGCCGUGUGCACGUGCGUAGUGGAAACAGAGAGCGGGCGCAAUAUGAGCAAAAGCGUGAGCAAGACCGAUGCAGAUUGCUUUCCUUCGGUCUGGCGGUAUGUCUUCAUCUCCGGUGUUCUCGUUGCGAUGUGGAUACACUUUGCUGUAGUUCACUGGAACUAUAACAAGCAAAGACGGCGUUUUCAAGAGGAAAGAUGAAGCAAUGGAAAUGCAUUUAACUAAACACGUCCUUUUCUUUAUUUGAAUACAGCCUUGCUUCUGUCAUAUUGAACUUCACUUCCAUUCUCAAAGUAUUACAAGAGUGCAUUAAAGGCAUUGAAGAUGCACCAGAUCAUACAUUCAAUUGAGAUCUUGACACUAGUGCUUAAUGUUUUGUAUAUGCAAGUAGACUUCGUUAUCUUCACAGUAAAGAGCUUGGUAAUGUUCCCACUGUGUACAAGUAAAGAAAAAAAAAACGAAUAAAAUACCUGAAUUCAACACUUUGUUGUUGUUGCAUGUUUUACUAACUCACACAGAAAAAAACACAUGUUUGAAAUGUAUUGCACAUUAAAAACAUGUCUU